UGUUGUAGAAGAGAAGCAUUUAUUAGAUAUAAAACCAAUAAAUGUUUUUAAAACAUAAAAAUUGGCGAUUUACAAUAACUAAGCAAAUCGCACAGUGCAAACUGGCGAUAAAUCAUUCAAGUUUCUGACCUAUCAGCUUUCGACGGUAUGGUAUUGGCUUACCGUGGCAGUGACGGUUAACGGGGGAUUAGGGUUCGAUUCCGGAGAGGGAGCCUGAGAAACGGCUACCACAUCUAAGGAAGGCAGCAGGCGCGCAAAUUACCCAAUUCUAACAGCAUAAGAGAGGUAGUGACAAGAAAUAACAGUACAAGGCAGUUAAAAUGCUUUGUAAUUAGAAUGAUAGAAAUUUAAAUACUUUUUAAAGUAUCAAUUGGAGGGCAAGUCUGGUGCCAGCAGCCGCGGUAAUUCCAGCUCCAAUAGCGUAUAUUAAAAUUGUUGCAGCUAAAAAGCUCGUAGUUGAAUUUCUGCUAAAAAUAACCGGUUUGCUUUUAUUAGUAAAAGUGGUAUCUUGGUGUGUUUCUAGCAAUAAUGUCCUUUGAAAUGUUUUUUACUUUAUUGUAAGAAACAAAAUUCAGGAUUUUUACUUUGAGAAAAUUAGAGUGUUUCAAGCAGGCUAACGUUUUGAAUA
RNAcentral lists this ribosomal RNA (628 nucleotides) under Hepatozoon sp. CCS-2010. RNAcentral describes it as "bacterial SSU rRNA". It matches the Rfam family "Eukaryotic small subunit ribosomal RNA", at positions 188 to 801 of the family's 1831-position model. Lineage: Eukaryota; Apicomplexa; Hepatozoidae. The record is from RNAcentral.